UAAGACCUACUGACACACCACGCACCACUAUGCAGAGCCGCCAGAGAGAGCUCACCGUCCGUACUCAGGAAACAACAACAGCAGUAACCACAGAAAUCUUGACUCAGAAACAGGUAGGAACUUAUCACAGAAGACAGCCAAGAGGAAGCCCAUCACCCUACGUCAGGUGUUUUGUGACGGCCUUCUCCUCGCCUACGCCGUCAAUAGUGAUUAUUUGGAGUUCUUUAGCAGCUAUGAAUUUAAAAGCCACUAAAGAGUCAACAAUCUGUACACUAUCUUAAGAGGCCAACCUUUAAUCACUGAAUAUUUUGCGUAGUUGAUAAUUUUUAUUCAGUAUUAAUUGUCUUAUAUUUGUUAUCUUUAGUAUAUGAAACAUUCUGAUUAUUUUUGUUCUCAAUAAAUCCACAAGACAAUG
Long non-coding RNA from Homarus americanus (American lobster), 415 nucleotides. RefSeq lists it as uncharacterized. The record is from RefSeq and is a predicted model, not a curated record. NCBI's taxonomy places the organism in Eukaryota, Metazoa, Arthropoda, Malacostraca, Decapoda, Nephropidae. The transcript has 2 exons.